Molecule: long non-coding RNA, 1838 nt
Filed under: Gossypium barbadense (sea-island cotton)
Lineage: Eukaryota; Viridiplantae; Streptophyta; Magnoliopsida; Malvales; Malvaceae
Description: long non-coding RNA (GBAR_LNC020271)
Source: RNAcentral
GGAGAUUCUUGUUUUUCGAAAAUUCUUCUAACAUGAAAGUAGAGAGAGACAAGUGAAAAUAAACAUGAAAGAGUUAUAGCAACUUCAUAUUAAGGGUAAACCUCAAUUAGAGACCUUAAACCCAGUAUGAGAGUAAUCUUAUAGUCAUUGAAACUAGCUGUAGAAAAUAGCAUACCCCAUUUUUCUUCCCGCCUCUCUUUUCCAUUGAUCACCAUCAUCAUCAACAUGCUAUGAAGUUUGGACACAGACAGGUAAUAUAAGUACGAUAUGAUAGGAACACGACGAUACAAUAAUUUUUAAAAAAUGAGGACACGGAUAUGAUAAGAUAUGAUAAUAAAAAAAUAUUUUUAAUGUUAUAAGUGUUGAUGUGAAUUGGUAAAUGUUAGUUAUAAUGACAACUUGAUGAAAGUGAUUAUAUUUGGCUAUUUUGAUGGAGCUUUGAUUAUGAAAAUAUGGUUGAUGUCAUAUGUUCUCUUAACUUGAUUAUUUGAAUGAUUAAUAUUUGUUUGAGGUGCCUUUGAAUGGCAUAUUUGUUAGGUAUAGGAUGGAUGAAUUUUUGGCAUGUAAUUGAUUAGUUGAAUGUGAUUUUGAGCUUAGGAAUGGAUCUAGAUAUGAUAUGAAUUGUUACUCAUCGAAUGAUGUAGGAAAUGGCUUGAAUCAGGGGUUAAAUAUGCUACACACAGCCUAAGACACGGGCUGUCACAUGGUCGCGUGACAUACACGGUCCACUCACACAACCGUGUGUCUUAUUGUCUUUAGGUGCAGGUUUCACACGACCUGACACACGGCUUGCGACAUGGCCAUGUGACCUUAAUUCGAAUAUCCACACGGGCGAACACACAGAUUGGGACAUGGCCUUGUGUCUGUAUUUCAAACGAGCACACGUUCUGGACUGUGACACACUACUUGGCCACACGGCUGUGUGUCUUUGUAUGAAUGAUUGAAUUUGAUUAUAUGGAAGUUGUCUAAUAUUCUGAAACUGAUGUAUGCAUAAGAUAGUGGUAUGUAUACUAUGAUGCUUAUUCUGAGAUGGCAUUGUAUUAUCUGUUUGGGAAAUAAAUUAGAAUGAUUGAAUAUUUGGUACGAGAUUUGUACUCUAUAUUUACAUGGGUUUGGGUAUUGUGGAGAAAGAAGUAAUCUGUAUAGAAAUAGUGGUUCAGCCACAAUGUGCAUAAAUUUUAUUCUGGCACUCCGUUGCCUUCAGACCUAACUGCUAAGUUGCGUCUCUGUAAAAGUGUCAAAUGAGACUCUAAGGUGUAUAGGGUUUAUUGGGCAUUGAAUGUCUUUAACGGUGUGUUGGGAUGGUCGAAAACAGUGUGUAGCAGUUGGGUUAGGAUUACUACAUCUAAAUCUGAUUUGUAUUGUAUUGUAUCUGGGACUGAAUUUGUAUAUAAACAGAUGUAUAACUCAUCUGCUCUGAAUUAUGAAUUGAAACUUCAUUUGUAUCAAAGUAAAUCUUUGAAUUUGGAAUUAUUUUAUAAGUGAGCACUAGUUGAAAAAUUUUCUUUUACGCCAUGAGUUCACAACUCAUUUUGUUAUUGAUUGAAUUUCAGGUGGAUCUUAGUCAUGAACGGACCGGUGCCGCAGAAGCUCGGUCUAGCUUUUAACUUUCUCUUAAGUAUUAUGUUAGGACUUCAGUAAUCUAUGAUAGUAGAACUUUGGAAGGUUAUGAACUAACUAAUCUUUGUGAUGGAUAUUUUGUGAAGCAUGGUUUAGUAUUAUUGUGUUACUUGUGUGGUAUGUGAGUAUCAACGAUGUAACUCUCUAAACUUGGGUUGGACGUCUAGGCUGGGUUUGGGGUGUCACAUAUCAUCUUUGAAAUUCCGUUGCAAACUUAG